GUGAUCAUAGUAUAGGUGGUCAGUACACCGCGUUGUGGAUAACAUUCCGAUUUGGAAAUUCCCACAUUCGCCUACCCGCGGCGACCUGAGUUCGAGUCUCAGUGAUCACA
Non-coding RNA from Meira miltonrushii, 110 nucleotides. NCBI's taxonomy places the organism in Eukaryota, Fungi, Basidiomycota, Exobasidiomycetes, Exobasidiales, Brachybasidiaceae. The record is from the annotation of a RefSeq genome assembly.